CUACCUACGGGGCGCAGCAGUGGGGAAUAUUGCGCAAUGGGCGAAAGCCUGACGCAGCGACGCCGCGUGAGGGAUGAAGGUCUUCGGAUCGUAAACCUCCGUCAGCAGGGAAGAACGGUCACUGUGCUAAUCAGCAGUGAAUUGACGGUACCUGCAAAGGAAGCACCGGCUAACUCCGUGCCAGCAGCCGCGGUAAUACGGUGGGUGCGAGCGUUAAUCGGAAUUACUGGGCGUAAAGCGCUCGUAGGCGGGAUGUCUAGUCAUGGGUGAAAGCCCCG
RNAcentral lists this ribosomal RNA (278 nucleotides) under uncultured bacterium. RNAcentral's name for it is "partial 16S ribosomal RNA". It matches the Rfam family "Bacterial small subunit ribosomal RNA", at positions 335 to 605 of the family's 1533-position model. The record is from RNAcentral.